UCGGGAAUUUUGGGCAAUGGGCGAAAGCCUGACCCAGCAACGCCGAGUGAAGGAUGAAGUAUUUCGGUAUGUAAACUUCGAAAGAAUAGGAAGAAUAAAUGACGGUACUAUUUAUAAGGUCCGGCUAACUACGUGCCAGCAGCCGCGGUAAUACGUAGGGACCAAGCGUUGUUCGGAUUUACUGGGCGUAAAGGGCGCGUAGGCGGCAAUUCAAGUCAUCUGUGAAAUCUCCGGGCUUAACUCGGAACGGUCAGAUGAUACUGCUUUGCUAGAGUGCAGAAGGGGCAAUCGGAAUUCUUGGUGUAGCGGUGAAAUGCGUAGAUAUCAAGAGGAACACCUGAGGUGAAGACGGGUUGCUGGGCUGACACUGACGCUGAGGCGCGAAAGCCAGGGGGAGCAAA
RNAcentral lists this ribosomal RNA (401 nucleotides) under uncultured bacterium. RNAcentral describes it as "bacterial SSU rRNA". It matches the Rfam family "Bacterial small subunit ribosomal RNA", at positions 355 to 772 of the family's 1533-position model. The record is from RNAcentral.